RNAcentral lists this non-coding RNA (101 nucleotides) under Gammaproteobacteria bacterium. RNAcentral describes it as "TPP sequence". It matches the Rfam family "TPP riboswitch aptamer (THI element)". From Rfam's summary of the family: Vitamin B(1) in its active form thiamin pyrophosphate (TPP) is an essential coenzyme that is synthesised by coupling of pyrimidine and thiazole moieties in bacteria. The previously detected thiamin-regulatory element, thi box was extended, resulting in a new, highly conserved RNA secondary structure, the THI element, which is widely distributed in eubacteria and also occurs in some archaea. Analysis of operon structures identified a large number of new candidate thiamin-regulated genes, mostly transporters, in various prokaryotic organisms. Lineage: Bacteria; Pseudomonadati; Pseudomonadota; Gammaproteobacteria. The record is from RNAcentral.
UUAUCUGCUUAGGGGAGCCUUUGGCUGAGAGGAUGUUUGAGCAUCGACCCUUUGAACCUGAUACAGUUUAUACUGGCGGAGGAAAAGCACUUGCAUGCACC